RNAcentral lists this ribosomal RNA (253 nucleotides) under uncultured bacterium. RNAcentral describes it as "partial 16S ribosomal RNA". It matches the Rfam family "Bacterial small subunit ribosomal RNA", at positions 524 to 776 of the family's 1533-position model. The record is from RNAcentral.
UACGUAGGGUGCGAGCGUUAAUCGGAAUUACUGGGCGUAAAGCGUGCGCAGGCGGUUAUGUAAGACAGAUGUGAAAUGCCCGGGCUUAACCUGGGAACUGCAUUUGUGACUGCAUGGCUAGAGUGUGUCAGAGGGGGGUAGAAUUCCGCGUGUAGCAGUGAAAUGCGUAGAUAUGCGGAGGAACACCGAUGGCGAAGGCAAUCCCCUGGACCUGUACUGACGCUCAUGCACGAAAGCGUGGGGAGCAAACAGG